This 253-nucleotide ribosomal RNA is filed under the name uncultured bacterium. Its description in RNAcentral is "partial 16S ribosomal RNA". It matches the Rfam family "Bacterial small subunit ribosomal RNA", at positions 524 to 776 of the family's 1533-position model. The record is from RNAcentral.
UACAGAGGGUGCGAGCGUUGUCCGGAAUUAUUGGGCGUAAAGAGCUCGUAGGCGGUUUGUCGCGUCUGCUGUGAAAACCCGAGGCUCAACCUCGGGCCUGCAGUGGGUACGGGCAGACUAGAGUGCGGUAGGGGAGAUUGGAAUUCCUGGUGUAGCGGUGGAAUGCGCAGAUAUCAGGAGGAACACCAAUGGCGAAGGCAGAUCUCUGGGCCGUAACUGACGCUGAGGAGCGAAAGCAUGGGGAGCGAACAGG